UACGAGGGGUCCAAGCGUUGUUCGGAAUCAUUGGGCGUAAAGCGGGUGUAGGUGGACCAAUCAGUCAGAAGUGAAAGCCCUGGGCUCAACCCAGGAAGUGCUUUUGAUACUGUUGGUCUUGAGUAUGGGAGAGGACAGUGGAAUUUCUGGUGUAGUGGUGAAAUACGUAGAUAUCAGAAGGAACUCCGGUGGGGAAGCCGGCUGUCUGGACCAAAACUGACACUCAGACCCGAAAGCGUGGGGAGCAAACAGG
RNAcentral lists this ribosomal RNA (253 nucleotides) under uncultured bacterium. RNAcentral's name for it is "partial 16S ribosomal RNA". It matches the Rfam family "Bacterial small subunit ribosomal RNA", at positions 524 to 776 of the family's 1533-position model. The record is from RNAcentral.